UAACUCCGUGCCAGCAGCCGCGUGUAAUACAUAGGGGGCAAGCGUUAAUCGGAAUUACUGGGCGUAAAGCGUGCGUAAGCGGUUUAUUAAGUCAGAUGUGAAAGCCCCGGGCUUAACCUGGGAACUGCAUUUGAAACUGGUCAACUAUAGUAUGGUAGAGGAAAGUGGAAUUUCUGGUGUAGCGGUGAAAUGCGUAGAUAUCAGAAGGAACAUCAAUGGCGAAGGCAGCUUUCUGGACCAAUACUGACGCUGAGGUACGAAAGCGUGGGUAGCAAACAGGAUUAGAUACCCUGGUAGUCCACGCCGUAAACGAUGAUAACUAGCCGUUGGGGGGAUUUACCCUUUAGUGGCGAAGCUAACGCGUUAAGUUAUCCACCUGGGGAGUACGGCCGCAAGGUUAAAACUCAAAGG
RNAcentral lists this ribosomal RNA (411 nucleotides) under uncultured bacterium. Its description in RNAcentral is "bacterial SSU rRNA". It matches the Rfam family "Bacterial small subunit ribosomal RNA", at positions 498 to 907 of the family's 1533-position model. The record is from RNAcentral.